AACGAACGCUGGCGGCAUGCCUAACACAUGCAAGUCGAACGAGACCUUCGGGUCUAGUGGCGCACGGGUGCGUAACGCGUGGGAACCUGCCCUUAGGUUCGGAAUAACUCCCCGACAGGGGUGCUAAUACCGGAUAAUGUCUUCGGACCAAAGAUUUAUCGCCUUUGGAUGGGCCCGCGUUGGAUUAGCUAGUUGGUAGGGUAAAAGCCUACCAAGGCGCCGAUCCAUAGCUGGUCAGAGAGGAUGAUCAGCCACACUGGGACGGAGACACGGCCCAGACUCCUACGGGAGGCAGCAGUGGGGAAUAUUGGACAAUGGGCGCAAGCCUGAUCCAGCAAUGCCGCGUGAGUGAUGAAGGCCUUAGGGUUGUAAAGCUCUUUUACCCGGGAUGAUAAUGACAGUACCGGGAGAAUAAGCUCCGGCUAACUACGUG
This 433-nucleotide ribosomal RNA is filed under the name uncultured bacterium. RNAcentral describes it as "partial 16S ribosomal RNA". It matches the Rfam family "Bacterial small subunit ribosomal RNA", at positions 29 to 507 of the family's 1533-position model. The record is from RNAcentral.